GACCGGCGCACGGGUGAGUAACGCGUAUGUAAUCUACCUGUAACAGAGGGAUAACCCGGAGAAAUCCGGACUAAUACCUCAUAGCACAUAUUAUUCGCAUGAAUUUUAUGUUAAAGAGACUCGGUUACAGAUGAACAUGCGUUCCAUUAGCUAGUUGGCGGGGUUACGGCCCACCAAGGCAACGAUGGAUAGGGGUUCUGAGAGGAAGGUCCCCCACACUGGUACUGAGACACGGACCAG
RNAcentral lists this ribosomal RNA (240 nucleotides) under uncultured bacterium. Its description in RNAcentral is "partial 16S ribosomal RNA". It matches the Rfam family "Bacterial small subunit ribosomal RNA", at positions 93 to 334 of the family's 1533-position model. The record is from RNAcentral.